Molecule: ribosomal RNA, 2907 nt
Filed under: Klebsiella grimontii
Lineage: Bacteria; Pseudomonadati; Pseudomonadota; Gammaproteobacteria; Enterobacterales; Enterobacteriaceae
Description: 23S ribosomal RNA
Rfam family: Bacterial large subunit ribosomal RNA
Source: RNAcentral
GGUUAAGCGACUAAGCGUACACGGUGGAUGCCCUGGCAGUCAGAGGCGAUGAAGGACGUGCUAAUCUGCGAAAAGCGUCGGUAAGGUGAUAUGAACCGUUAUAGCCGGCGAUGUCCGAAUGGGGAAACCCAGUGCAAUUCGUUGCACUAUCGUUUGAUGAAUACAUAGUCAAACGAGGCGAACCGGGGGAACUGAAACAUCUAAGUACCCCGAGGAAAAGAAAUCAACCGAGAUUCCCCCAGUAGCGGCGAGCGAACGGGGAGCAGCCCGGAGUCUGAAUCAGCUUGUGUGUUAGUGGAAGCGUCUGGAAAGUCGCAGGGUACAGGGUGAUACUCCCGUACACUAAAACGCACAGGCUGUGAACUCGAAGAGUAGGGCGGGACACGUGGUAUCCUGUCUGAAUAUGGGGGGACCAUCCUCCAAGGCUAAAUACUCCUGACUGACCGAUAGUGAACCAGUACCGUGAGGGAAAGGCGAAAAGAACCCCGGCGAGGGGAGUGAAAAAGAACCUGAAACCGUGUACGUACAAGCAGUAGGAGCCUCUUUAUGGGGUGACUGCGUACCUUUUGUAUAAUGGGUCAGCGACUUAUAUUCUGUAGCAAGGUUAACCGUAUAGGGGAGCCGCAGGGAAACCGAGUCUUAACUGGGCGUUAAGUUGCAGGGUAUAGACCCGAAACCCGGUGAUCUAGCCAUGGGCAGGUUGAAGGUUGGGUAACACUAACUGGAGGACCGAACCGACUAAUGUUGAAAAAUUAGCGGAUGACUUGUGGCUGGGGGUGAAAGGCCAAUCAAACCGGGAGAUAGCUGGUUCUCCCCGAAAGCUAUUUAGGUAGCGCCUCGUGAACUCAUCUUCGGGGGUAGAGCACUGUUUCGGCUAGGGGGUCAUCCCGACUUACCAACCCGAUGCAAACUACGAAUACCGAAGAAUGUUAUCACGGGAGACACACGGCGGGUGCUAACGUCCGUCGUGAAGAGGGAAACAACCCAGACCGCCAGCUAAGGUCCCAAAGUCAUGGUUAAGUGGGAAACGAUGUGGGAAGGCCCAGACAGCCAGGAUGUUGGCUUAGAAGCAGCCAUCAUUUAAAGAAAGCGUAAUAGCUCACUGGUCGAGUCGGCCUGCGCGGAAGAUGUAACGGGGCUAAACCAUGCACCGAAGCUGCGGCAGCGACACUAUGUGUUGUUGGGUAGGGGAGCGUUCUGUAAGCCGUUGAAGGUGGCCUGUGAGGGUUGCUGGAGGUAUCAGAAGUGCGAAUGCUGACAUAAGUAACGAUAAUGCGGGUGAAAAACCCGCACGCCGGAAGACCAAGGGUUCCUGUCCAACGUUAAUCGGGGCAGGGUGAGUCGACCCCUAAGGCGAGGCCGAAAGGCGUAGUCGAUGGGAAACAGGUUAAUAUUCCUGUACUCGGUGUUACUGCGAAGGGGGGACGGAGAAGGCUAUGUUGGCCGGGCGACGGUUGUCCCGGUUUAAGCAUGUAGGCGGAUGUUCCAGGUAAAUCCGGAACGUUACUAACGCUGAGGUGUGAUGACGAGGCACUACGGUGCUGAAGUGACAAAUGCCCUGCUUCCAGGAAAAGCCUCUAAGCAUCAGGUAACAUCAAAUCGUACCCCAAACCGACACAGGUGGUCAGGUAGAGAAUACCAAGGCGCUUGAGAGAACUCGGGUGAAGGAACUAGGCAAAAUGGUGCCGUAACUUCGGGAGAAGGCACGCUGAUAUGUAGGUGAAGUGGUUUACCCAUGGAGCUGAAAUCAGUCGAAGAUACCAGCUGGCUGCAACUGUUUAUUAAAAACACAGCACUGUGCAAACACGAAAGUGGACGUAUACGGUGUGACGCCUGCCCGGUGCCGGAAGGUUAAUUGAUGGGGUUAUCCGUAAGGAGAAGCUCUUGAUCGAAGCCCCGGUAAACGGCGGCCGUAACUAUAACGGUCCUAAGGUAGCGAAAUUCCUUGUCGGGUAAGUUCCGACCUGCACGAAUGGCGUAAUGAUGGCCAGGCUGUCUCCACCCGAGACUCAGUGAAAUUGAACUCGCUGUGAAGAUGCAGUGUACCCGCGGCAAGACGGAAAGACCCCGUGAACCUUUACUAUAGCUUGACACUGAACACUGGUCCUUGAUGUGUAGGAUAGGUGGGAGGCUUUGAAGUGUGGACGCCAGUCUGCAUGGAGCCAUCCUUGAAAUACCACCCUUUAAUGGCUGGUGUUCUAACGUGGGCCCGUUAUCCGGGUUGCGGACAGUGUCUGGUGGGUAGUUUGACUGGGGCGGUCUCCUCCUAAAGAGUAACGGAGGAGCACGAAGGUCAGCUAAUCCUGGUCGGACAUCAGGAGGUUAGUGCAAUGGCAUAAGCUGGCUUGACUGCGAGCGUGACGGCGCGAGCAGGUGCGAAAGCAGGUCAUAGUGAUCCGGUGGUUCUGAAUGGAAGGGCCAUCGCUCAACGGAUAAAAGGUACUCCGGGGAUAACAGGCUGAUACCGCCCAAGAGUUCAUAUCGACGGCGGUGUUUGGCACCUCGAUGUCGGCUCAUCACAUCCUGGGGCUGAAGUAGGUCCCAAGGGUAUGGCUGUUCGCCAUUUAAAGUGGUACGCGAGCUGGGUUUAGAACGUCGUGAGACAGUUCGGUCCCUAUCUGCCGUGGGCGCUGGAGAAUUGAGGGGGGCUGCUCCUAGUACGAGAGGACCGGAGUGGACGCAUCACUGGUGUUCGGGUUGUCAUGCCAAUGGCAUUGCCCGGUAGCUAAAUGCGGAAGAGAUAAGUGCUGAAAGCAUCUAAGCACGAAACUUGCCCCGAGAUGAGUUCUCCCUGACUCCUUGAGAGUCCUGAAGGAACGUUGAAGACGACGACGUUGAUAGGCCGGGUGUGUAAGCGCAGCGAUGCGUUGAGCUAACCGGUACUAAUGAACCGUGAGGCUUAACCUU